GGGUGAGUAACACGUGGAUAACCUACCUAUAAGACUGGGAUAACUUCGGGAAACCGGAGCUAAUACCGGAUAAUAUAUUGAACCGCAUGGUUCAAUAGUGAAAGACGGUUUUGCUGUCACUUAUAGAUGGAUCCGCGCCGCAUUAGCUAGUUGGUAAGGUAACAGCUUACCAAGGCAACGAUGCGUAGCCGACCUGAGAGGGUGAUCGGCCACACUGGAACUGAGACACGGUCCAG
RNAcentral lists this ribosomal RNA (236 nucleotides) under uncultured Staphylococcus sp. RNAcentral describes it as "partial 16S ribosomal RNA". It matches the Rfam family "Bacterial small subunit ribosomal RNA", at positions 104 to 334 of the family's 1533-position model. Lineage: Bacteria; Bacillati; Bacillota; Bacilli; Caryophanales; Staphylococcaceae. The record is from RNAcentral.